This 9931-nucleotide long non-coding RNA is filed under the name Homo sapiens (human). Its description in RNAcentral is "HSALNT0217560". Lineage: Eukaryota; Metazoa; Chordata; Mammalia; Primates; Hominidae. The record is from RNAcentral.
UAUUAUUUAACGAAAAAUCAGCAUACAUUUAGAUGUAACAGUAAGUGGAAUUCUAGAAAUAUCUGCAAGCUUAGAAAUAAAACACUAGUUCCACAAUUUUUUUAAUUUUUUUUUUUAUACAGAGUUUUGCUCUUGUUGCCUAGGGUGGAGUGCAAUGGUGCAAUCUCGGCUCACUGCAACCUCCACCUCCAGGGUUCAAGCAAUUCUCCUGUCUCAGCCUCCCGAGUAGCUGGGAUUACAGGCAUCUACCACCAUGCCCAGCUAAUUUUUGUAGUUUUAGUAGAGACGGGGGGGUUCACCAUGUUGGCCAGGCUGGUCUCGAACUCCUGACCCUCAGGUGAUCCACCCGCCUCAGCCUCCCAAAGUGCUGGGAUUACAGGCAUGAGCCACCAUGCCCAGCCACUGGUUCCACAAUUUUUUAAAUGAAAAUAAAACACAAAUCAGUACACGAAUGAAAGAUUAAUACCCCUGAGAUAGAUCUAUGCCACUAAAUUUAGACAUGCAUGUGAAUAUAUACUUAAAAUUCCCCUUCAGCUGCUCAUUUACACACACAAAUAAUCUGCCUAUGUGAGGGAGGAAACAAAAGCUUUCACUACAUAUGUAUGUAUUUAUCUAUCUAUCUAUAUAGAUAGAUAUAUAGAUAUGUGUUUACGUGUGUGUAUAUAUAUUUAGAACCAUGCAGACAUAAUAGCUCCUAUGCUUUAAAAAACAUAUAACCAUGUAUAUUGUAUACACAUAAGGGUUCCAUUAUCACCCAAUGAUCUAAUGAACUCAGGUUUCACAUCCCAUUGCUAGUAUCCCCAUAAAAACUUAUAAAAUGCCUCUACAGAUAGAAACAUUUUAAAUCAAAAACAACUCACUAUUAUGAAAGUCACAUAUUUUUGGCAAAUGAGAACUUUUCUAACCUAUGCUAUUUGACUCAUGUGGCAAUUUUUCUGUUGUAUAAAAAACUGCAUAUACACAUCUGAAAACUAUAAACAAAGGCAGACCGACAUUUAUGAUGACAUUUCCACCAUGUUGCAUCUAUCAGAAAAACAGUCACAUAUAUAUUUAUAGAGAUAUACAGUAUUAUACUACAAAUUGUAAGAACAUUUCUAUUAUAUCUACCACAACCUAAAAAUUAAGCCCAAUGAUCCAGUGAACAGUUUGCUUUUUGCAAGCAAAACUGGUUCUAUCCCCUAUGAAUUAAAAAUGACAUCUAUACAUUUAGAAAAAUAGAUGUUAAAAAUAUUUAGCAUAUCCACCAGCAAUCAAUUAAUGUUUAGGGGCAAUUUAAUGAAUUAAUGUUCUGAGAGGUGAUUUAACACUCCCACUAGCAAAAGGAAAGUAGUCUACCUGUUUACAAUGUAAUGUUAACAUAUAGGUAAGACCACCACCACCAUCUUCACGUGGAUUUAGGUCUGGAGGCCCUGCAACAUAUGCUCAUGUGCACACAGGGCUCCAACACCCCACCCUCUUAUCUCCUAAAUCCACAUCUAAUAUUUGCCUAAUACUAACAAAGCCAUCUAAGAGUCUAAACACUCCUAUCAGUAACCAAUGACAUCAUUGUGUAACAAUUUAAUGUCCCCCAAAAUGCAAAAUGUCAGCCAUCUCUAUGCUGGUUAAGAUUCAGUAACACAAUCCUGUCGGUUAUAUACACAAAGUAAUACAAAUCCCACCCAACCCUUAACAUGUAAGUGUUCUAGAGGCUGGCCUUUUUGGCAAUUCCAUCAUGAAAAGAAAAUCUUACACCACGUAAAUUUUAACAGAAAGACCACUGACAAAAUAACAUCCACAUCCAUGACUUUCAUACAUAAAGCAGCAUUAAUAAAACUUCUUAGUUAGAAGUUGUAUACAUUAAGUUCCCCCAGAAAAACAUCCAUAGCAAUAUAAACCAAAAUAAAAGGAUUUUUAAUAUACAUCAGAGGUACUUUAACAAUUAUAUUUCUAAAAUCAUUUCUUAAAAUGUUUCUACAUACUUCAGCAAACUAAUUGUUAGCAAUAUCUAUGUACCAAGAAAAUGUCAUAAAACAAUUAUUUAGAAACUUCAAACACUGUAUCCUCAAAUGCACAUAAACAAAAUGCCUUUUUUUCUAAUUAACGCUUCCCAUGUCAUUUUCUAUUACCCUUAUGCACUCAAAAAGUGAAUACAGAAUUGUGUAUAUCUUUAAAAGGUGACCUGAGAAUUCCUUUCUAACAACUGUUCCAGAAUAAAAUUCUAGCAAAUAGAAGCUUCCCCAGGAAACCAGUUAUUUAGCCACAGCAACUACAUUAACAAGCUUAACAGAUUCAUGUUCAAAAUCUAAGUGUUUGCUUUUAACUAAUUACAUUCCAAGAUUAUGCAAAAAAAUACAACUAUUACACAUUUAAUUUCACUGUCUGGCUUACCUAAGGCACAAUGAACAAUUCAUACACAUUUAUCAUUCAAUGUGUAUCUUACAUUCUCAUUUCAAUACUAUUAUCUAAACAUAAUUUUCCCACAUAUUUAAACAAACUCGUAAGCUAAAUGUCCACGAAAAAAAGUUUAUAUUAUUUGAAUAUUUGGAGCUCUUUCACAAUGCUAGCAGGAGUUGGGGAAUGAUGUCCUUAUUGCAUGUGCACACAAGUAUAUCAUGUGCAGGGCUUUUACUGGUAAAUCUUCCAAAGGCGAGUGGACUCUCCAUAGCAAGAAAAAAAAUAUUAUUGGUUGAUGAAGUUCAGGCAAGUAUCAAUCUAUCUUUCUUUCUUCCAAGGUUUUCUAGCUGAUGAGGCAUGUAGCUGAAUUCAACAUGUUAUCCUUCCCCUUCUAUCCAUAUAUUCCUGCAGGGUUGGCUUGUCAACUUGAGUUUGUACAGACUACCCAAAAUAUUUCAAGUUUUAUAUAUUUGAAAUGUUUCUCAAUUCAGUAGAUAAUUCUUUAUGCACCUGCCACGCUGUGACUCAGACGGCAUUCUGGGGAUGAAUCCGGAUUGAGAGUUGCUGUUCUGAUGUUGUAAGGAGCACACAAAUAGAGUAGAUCUGGACUAUGGCUCUACAGAGGACCCUGGCCAAAGACCCUUUAAGGCAGACAUCUCCAAGGGGGGUUAGACUUCCACCGCAAUCUAGAAAUAAAAAUGCUCCAGAAGAAUCUGUAAACUACAGUUUUCUCCAUGCUGGGGUGGUCACUCAGACUACUCACUCCUGUUGAUGUAUUUCAGUGAAAAAAUGGUUCAUAAAUCUACCCUAAAUCAUAUGUUGCAAUCAGUGUUUGUUGCUGCAAAAAUUUCUGAAAAUUUUUAAGGAUGAGAGGAUUAGAGUGAGGGAAUGCCACAAAAUAUACAAAUCCAAAUGUUUGGUGUCCACAAGUGGGUGGUUUCCAGUGUUUAUUGUGGCAAAAGAUGUUCUAAAUAUUAUAAACGUAUGCAAUCGUUGUCCUCUUCCUUGAUUAUUGCUCAUUUCUAAAACUCUUGAAACAUGACAACUGCUUAUUUAUUAAGAAAACCUGAGAAGGUUUGUCUUGUUUUCCCCAAAUCAGCUCUGCCAGAUAGAUGAACUAAAGAACCUGAGGUUAGCAGCAAGGGGAACAGUUGAAAGUAUGUGAAUACAGUUAAGAUGACAGAGCCCUCACAGGGAAGAGUAACUUCAAAUCAGUUCUCUAAUGGGGUGAACAGUAUCUUUUGUACAGUAAGUUUCUAAAGGAAAUAAUCCUGGUCCAUCUUUUUUAAGCUGCAAUUUAGCCCAUGAAUGAAAGCUGUUUCCUUGCUCCUUAGCUGGCAUUUCCUUUAUACGUCUCUUCAGAAUUGACAGUCGAAUGUAUCACAGUGAUCUUAAAAAGAUGUUUCUGAAUGUAAAUGAGUUUGAAAUAUUUCACAAAUUUACUUUCUGCUUAUUUUCUUGUUCAAUUAUCUGUUCAUGAUUUGUCCAUUUUCAGAACAAUUUUUCAAGCCUUUUUGUUCACAGAGUUGUAGAUCAUAUUUAUGUACACUACAGGAAUCAACAGAGUAAAUAACCAAUAUAUUUUGCCAACCCAAAUAUAAUAGAUGCAUUUACAUUUAUUUUUAUGUUGUGAACUACUCUUAACACACCAACAAGUACACCCUCUUAUCCUCUCCAACAGCAAUGACCUCUUGAUUUCCAACAGGUUUGCUCAAAGGACAAGUUCACGUGAACACAUGCUUUUUUUUUUUUAACCUGGAAUAUUUAUUCUCCAGUGAGCUAGCCUGAAGCAGGUGGAGGCAUCCAAUAAAAUACAACCUUAAGGAACUACCUUUUCUAUUUUUAACAAACCCCGAGUCAGAAAUCUGGCAAUAUCUUAGGAACCUCUCUACUUGAUGAAACAGACAACUUUAAUUUAAAGCAAGACAGUAUGUCCCAAUUCCCUACUCUCAGCUAUGUGGUACAAUGAAAUGCCCUUGUUCUUGACCUAAACCCUAAAAAAGAAUGGAGGAAAAAAAAUCAGGGUGAAACUGACGGCCAUACUUUGCCUGUACUCUACUAGAGGGCAAAUUUGUUAUACUUUCUUCAUUCAUAUAUUGACUCUACCAAUGACUGUGGUAACAACAUACCAAUGAAGCAAAAAUUGGCUAUCCAUCAAACACAUACUAGAUGUUAAUUAUUACACUAGGCCUUGAAGACAAAGCAGUAAAAAGUACAGUCAAGGCAUCUGAUAAACCGUUAAUGUUUCUUUCUCCCUAUAAGGGAAAAAUAUCAAAAAAGUCAGUCUAUUUAGCCUUUUGGAACCAUAUUUCCAAAUUCUGCUAUGUACUCAUCUUGGACAAAUGAAAAGCAUUAUUUCAGUAAGUCAAAGCUUUUAAAGAAGGUAUCAUCAUUGUGACUUAAAACAAUUUCUAAAGGAUGGAUUUUUUGGGUUUUGUUGCUACCUUGACAUCAUUGCCGAAGGCUGUAAUUCACUCAGUAGAUAAAACACCCAGUCUACCUAAAAUGUGAAGCCACGGUAUCCAGCCAUGCUCACUAGAGUUACACAUUAUACAAUUGACAUUAAAACAGAAAGUACAAUGUCCCAAAUUUGUUGCCACCCUCCAAAAUAAUUUCAAUAAUUCCUAGGCCAUAUACAUUUUCAAAUCCUCUGUAAUUUCUUCUCAUUUUAUUCAGUCCAACCCAAAGAAGUCUGCUUGUUUGAAGUCUGGGUUUCUUGUUCAGUUGCUGUAUCACAGAGAAUGACUGAUUUGAUCUGAAUAUAUCCAUAUUCUUCACCACUUCCAAACCUGGAGGAGUCUCAACUGAAGUGGCUAAUUUUACAGUUUUUAAGUAAAAGAGAACAGCCUAUUCCCAAAGAGAAUCAUCAUUGGAAAACAGUACUAAAUUUCAAGAAACAACUAUAGCCACUGGAAUGCCAACCUGUAUGUUGAAAUUUCCCAAACCCAACAUAUGUAAGUCCACCAGAAGCAGAUGCUUAAAAUCAAACAAUAAAUAAAUAAAACAAGUUAUAAAGAGUUCAGUAAUUAACAUUAAACACAAACAGGAUUACCUUUCCUUCCUCCAAAAGGGUAGGUAUUAGGCAGAAAUUACCACACUAUAUUCAUUGAGAUCAUACCUGCUCUUAAAAUGUUAUUUUUUUAAUCUACUGUUUUCAGGAAUUUUGUCUUCUUUUACCCAAAGUGAAUUUAUAUGGACUGAAUUUAGAAAUGGCUGAAUUUACUCAAAUUUAAUUUAAUUUAGAUUCAAAUGAGUAUAGUUGAUUCACUGCUAGGAAAAUUAUCAAAAAUAAGCUCGUUUCCUCAUAUCACGUAGAUAAUUUAAAUUUAUAUUAGAAAUGUAUUAUUUUAAGUGAUAUAUGUCUGUAUUUCCAGGAAAUUAUGAAGUGUUUACGUCCUCCCAUGCAUUUGAACACAUUGGCUACAAAUAGUCAUUCCUAUUAAUAAUAACCUUGCAAGAAAAAAAUAUAUGGUAUUCUACAUUGAUUUACAUUAUUACAUAAGACAACUUUCAAGAUUCCCUGGUCAUGAUCACAUUUUAAAAUAUGCGAUAACAUGAUGUAUCAUUGCUUUUUCCAUAUCAGUGUACAUUAAAAGACAUAUAAUAGCACUCUAAGUAUGGUUCCUAGAUCUGUAGCAUCUAGAAACUUGAUAAAAAUCAACUUCUCAUACUUAUACCUAAUAAGCCAGAAACACUAAGGUCAGGACCCAGUAAACUGUGUUUAAAAAGCCCUCAGGUGAUUCUUAUCCACACUAAAUUUAAACAAAUCACUGACUAACCAAGGCUAUCUAGAAAUACCAUCCUUUAUUCAUUCUAAUAAUUUAUCAAGAAAAGACAUUUAAUCAGCACACUUCGCUAAUUAAAACAAUCUCAGUGAAAGACAAUAUUACCUAUUUAUGGUCACCUCAAGAAAAGGUAUAGAAGCUAACAUGGGAAAGGUAGCUGACAUUCUUUAUCUGAAGUAAAACAGAAACUUACAUGUUAAAUGAUAAUUCUGACUCCUAACAUACACCACCUAUUGUUCCACAAUUCAAACCAUGCAAGUUUUCCUUAUUUCCAACAAAUGAAACAAUCAUAACAUUACUCUCAAUUUACCUGUCUCCCUUCAUACAACUCAGGAACAUGUUCCAACCACAUUAAAAUUUGCUUAUUUGUUUUCCUCCUACUACUCAUUAAUGCAAUUUGCCAUCUUCUGCUAACUCAUUCCUUCCACUACUCUCAGCAAAUUACUUUGAUCAUGAAUUAGCAAGGCUGGACCUCACGCUCCCUUUGCAGGAAUGGAAAGUGUCAUCCAAUUCAAGAAAUAAUGAUUCUCAUCAUUAAGCCAACCCUCCUCCUACCACUCCACCAAAACACACACACACACACACGUGCACACACGCACACACGUGCACACACGCACAUACACGUGUCAUCUCUUCCAGAGAUUCUUAUUUUCAGGGGAUUUAUUUUAAGUCAUCUGUGAAGUAUCACCCCACAAAUGAGGUUGUUUGGAUGGGCUGGGCCAGCAACUACCACUGCAUUCUCUAAGUUGCACCAAACAUCUGAAGGUAAAAGACCCCCUGUCAACACUACACCUCAACAUAUCUGGCACUAAUUCCCUAUUUUUCUCACUUAACUGCUUAUUUCUAAUCUAAUUCAGUUAGUAGGAAAGGAAAAACUCAUUUUUCUCAAUUCAUCCAACAUAUCGCUAACUGCCUGGAUCAAGAACACUAAGAGAACCAAACAAAUCUGAGAGGUUAUAAAUACACUAACAUUUCUACCAGAAGAACAGAGACUCAAAGGCAAGAACUAUAAAAUAACUUAUCUACCUCACUUUUAGAAGAAUGUUCAUUUCUCUGAACCCCAACAGCUUUUCACUAUAAACCAGUCAUUUGUCAUGUGAUCACAGUAUCAACACCCACAUCAUUAAUAUGUACAUAUGUAUACACAAACACAUAACACAUACAGAAUUUAUCAACUAAGAUAACAACUAGAGAAUAAGAUCUUGCUAUAUUCAAUGUUCAUGGUAUAUUUAAUAUAGGCUUUUCUAAAUUACCUUCUUAUUCACCAUUCCUCCUUCAUAAUAACGACUUAUAGGCAAAGCAAAAGCACCUACUCAUAGAAUGUCAAUCACAGAUAAUGAAAGACCCAUCAAUCAUACAAGCAAAAAAUAGAGUACAGAAUAAUGUGAGAUUAGAGAUGUGAUUCAAAAAUUGCAUGGUGUUUAGCAAAUCUUUUAAUCUCCGUGGGGCUCAGCAUCAAAAACUAUAUAAUGCCAAUUUCAUCACCUUAACUGAAUCUAAGAGUCAAAAUUAAAUCUCCACCUACGUCUUGUAAAGAUACAGCAAAGGGUUAACUUAAUUAAAAGUAGAAUUAAAUUAAUCUCUGGAAAUGUAACUUAAGCAUUCUGCUAAAUAUAUAAAUUACGUCUCCUCUCAAACCAAUGUCUCAGCCACAAACUAGCAAUUUCUCAAUUAUAUGCCAAAUGGAGAAGCUGCCUCAGUGACAGAAACAUGCUCAUGAAACUUUCAUAUAGGGUUGGAACCGGGUGAUGCAAGCAACAGGGUUAAAAAAAAAAAGAGCAUAGGAGCUCCUAAGUACUUAUUCUCUUGAAAUGAUCACUUGAAAUGCAUAGUAGAAAUAAGCAAAGGUGUGGCUGGGUACGGUGGCUCACGCAUGUAAUCCCAGCACUUUGUGGGGCUGAGGCGGGUGGAUCACUUAGAGACCAACCUGGCAAACAUGGCAAAGCCUGUCUCCACAAAAGCAUACAAAAAUUAGCCGGGCAUGUUGGCACAUGCUUGUAAUCCCAGCUACUCUGGAGGCUGAGACAAGAAGUGCUUGAAUGCAAGAGGCGGAGGUUGCGGUGAGCCAAGAUCAUGCCAAAGAUGAGACAUACCAAUGCAGUGAACAUAGAACACACUCUACAAAACAUUAACUGUACUAAAGGAUCUAGAACCAACUUCCUUGUAUUGCACUGGAAAAACCUACAACACGCCAUUAUCCUUAACCUGUACUGAUAGGAAAAACCAUGUGAAAUUUAGAGUCUAAGAAUUUAUGUUUUGAGUAUUUGUAUCCUGAGUCCUUAGACUGACAGUAAGGCUGGACUUCAGAGUAAUCACGUUGAGCUUUACUUCAUCAUGCUCAGUAAACACAGCUCAUCACAAAUCCAGCCCAGGUCUUUCCCAAUGUCUUUCCCAUCAACUAGUAAAAAUACGUAAAAAAAUAAAUUCCUGCAGAUAGUGUAUCUCUACCCAUAAGGACAGUCCCUGGCCUGGAAGAAUAAAUGAUAAGAGUUUUAUGUGACAAUGGAUAUAAAACAACAGUAACAACAACAGUGUCAUUCAAAGCACACAGAAUUAAGGGGAAUUAUGAAGAAAAAGACACACACAGCAAUCUACAUGAAGGAAACAAACGCGGGCGCGCAUACACACACACACACACACACACACACACACACACACACAGAGAGAGAGAGAGAGAGAGAGAGAGACAGCAAUCUGCCAGUCGGGUCUCACAGAGCUAAAUACAAUGACUAUUUCCACUAGCAAACUGUCCAAAGAACUGAAACAGAAAUACACUAAUGCCACCACAGAUACUAUCGACAACUUGCUAUUCUCCCCAAUAAUUAAAUGUAAACCAAUUUUAGGACUAGAGUACACUGAAAACAUGCAUCAAAAAAUUCUAGAGUUAAGUGUAAACAAAUGGUAUAGAAAGACAGAGGACAGACAAAUAAAAUCAAGGCUGGCACAACGUAAGAAACACAAAGUCCAAAGAAAGGAUUCUGAAGGAGGUCUAAACUACUAACUUCUCUGACAAGAAACCAAAGUAGCACAGUAAUGCAAUCCAGAUUUUCUCAUGAGAACCCACACUAUUAUUCCUGAUACAUAUCUCCGAAACAUGAAAUCAUAGAUUUCAGGAACUGUAUCAUUUCAACUCAAUUUUUGCUACCAAAGAACAAAUGAUGUAACAUAAAAUGAAAAUAUCUAUACAAACAAAACAUCCAAAAGACAGGAAACAGCCCGAACAAUUCAGAUGUACAACCUAACCCUCAAGGUCACUGUAUUCUCAUUAGUUCAACAGAAAAUGAUUCACAUUAACUAAACAUCAAGUUCAAAUGUGAGCCUCCUUCUUGAUUCUUGGGCACUUAGUAUGGACCUCGCUUUUUAAGUUGAAUCGGCUCAGCAAAGCAAAUUAACCCAGCCAAGUUUUUCCUACUAAUCAUUUCUACACUGUACUAGUUCUUAAAACUCAUGGGCAAGCAGGCAUUGUGAAAAAGGAUUCCAGUGACCCACACAGAUGAUACUGAAAGUGGAAGAGCUAGAAGAACUGUUUCUCCAUGUCUGCAACCCCCUUCUUAUUGUACAACCACCUGAUCCCUUUAUCAACAUAUACUUCUACAACAUUCCCCACCUCUUUACUUUAUAUUGGCUUAAUAAAUACAUCCUUUGAACUUUAUAUCUCAUUUUUUUCUUUUUUUUUCCAGACGGAGUCUCACUCUGUCACCCAGGCUGGAGUGCAGUGGCAUGGUCUCGGCUCACUGCAACCUUUGCCGCCCAGGUUCAAGUGAUUCUCCUGC